Molecule: microRNA precursor, 113 nt
Filed under: Marmota monax (woodchuck)
Lineage: Eukaryota; Metazoa; Chordata; Mammalia; Rodentia; Sciuridae
Source: RNAcentral
AAAUGAGUCACCUGGAGAUCUUGUUAAACUGCACAUUCUGAUUCAGUGGCCCUAGGGCAGGAACUGAGCAUUUGAGAAUUUUCAUAUCUAUCAAAUUGCCAAGUGAUGCUGAU